AUAGAUUCCCCUCAUUCGCCCUGUUUGGAUCAGAACUCAGAGAGAAAAGAUGCAUCAAACGCACGAUGAAAUCCACAGAAACAUCAUGGUGUGAAGGGUAAAAGUGGACUCUGAGAUUCUGCUGUUUUCUUAAAAAGUCCACUGACAUGAAGCAUGAGAUUGUCAUGGUUCGCUCGGUGCAGGUGUGCAACUGCAGAGAGAGAAAGAGAGUGUUAUUCAUCCCCAGGGGGCACUGUUAGCCCUCCACUUCAACAUCAACAACCUGCUCCAUGUGGCCCCCAAACACACACACACACACACACACAGCUGCAGAAGGUGCUGGUGACAGACAUUAAUUUGGUGCUUCAUAUCAUGACACAAAAGACAUCUUCCAUCAAGAGUCCACACGCCCUUCUGCUCAUCUGAGAAUCCAGAGCACAGGUGUCUGUUCACUGCCUACAGAAACAUCCCACGCGCAACCAGCACUUAUGAGUGGAGAAACUUACCUCCGUAAUCCAAACUCGACAUCAAACCUGCCGUCACACG
This is a long non-coding RNA of Cyprinus carpio (common carp), 525 nucleotides long. RefSeq lists it as uncharacterized. The record is from RefSeq and is a predicted model, not a curated record. Lineage: Eukaryota; Metazoa; Chordata; Actinopteri; Cypriniformes; Cyprinidae. The transcript has 3 exons.